Molecule: transfer RNA, 74 nt
Filed under: Mycobacteroides salmoniphilum
Lineage: Bacteria; Bacillati; Actinomycetota; Actinomycetes; Mycobacteriales; Mycobacteriaceae
Description: tRNA-Ala
Source: RNAcentral
GAUUCUCAAGGCGCUGUUCGUGUUUGUGCUGCUGGCGACGGCGCUCAAGCUGCUGCUGAGUGCGGCGGGGAUCG